This 496-nucleotide ribosomal RNA is filed under the name uncultured bacterium. Its description in RNAcentral is "partial 16S ribosomal RNA". It matches the Rfam family "Bacterial small subunit ribosomal RNA", at positions 29 to 507 of the family's 1533-position model. The record is from RNAcentral.
AUGAACGCUGGCGGCGUGCCUAAUACAUGCAAGUCGCGCGAACAGACGAGGAGCUUGCUCCUCUGACGUUAGCGGCGGACGGGUGAGUAACACGUGGAUAACCUACCUAUAAGACUGGGAUAACUUCGGGAAACCGGAGCUAAUACCGGAUAAUAUAUUGAACCGCAUGGUUCAAUAGUGAAAGACGGUUUUGCUGUCACUUAUAGAUGGAUCCGCGCCGCAUUAGCUAGUUGGUAAGGUAACGGCUUACCAAGGCGACGAUGCGUAGCCGACCUGAGAGGGUGAUCGGCCACACUGGAACUGAGACACGGUCCAGACUCCUACGGGAGGCAGCAGUAGGGAAUCUUCCGCAAUGGGCGAAAGCCUGACGGAGCAACGCCGCGUGAGUGAUGAAGGUCUUCGGAUCGUAAAACUCUGUUAUUAGCGAAGAACAAAUGUGUAAGUAACUAUGCACGUCUUGACGGUACCUAAUCAGAAAGCCACGGCUAACUACGUG